CUGUUGGUGGGGUAAUGGCCUACCAAGGCGACGACGGGUAGCCGGCCUGAGAGGGUGACCGGCACACUGGGACUGAGACACGGCCCAGACUCCUACGGGAGGCAGCAGUGGGGGAAUAUUGCACAAUGGGCGAAAGCCUGAUGCAGCGACGCCGCGUGAGGGAUGACGGCCUUCGGGUUGUAAACCUCUUUCAGCASGGAAGAAGCGAGAGUGACGGUACCUGCAGAAGAAGCACCGGCUAACUACGUGCCAGCAGCCGCGGUAAUACGUAGGGUGCGAGCGUUGUCCGGAAUUAUUGGGCGUAAAGAGCUCGUAGGCGGUUUGUCGCGUCGAUUGUGAAAGCCCGCGGCUUAACCCUGGGUCUGCAGUCGAUACGGGCAGGCUAGAGUUCGGCAGGGGAGACUGGAAUUCCUGGUGUAGCGGUGAAAUGCGCAGAUAUCAGGAGGAACACCGGUGGCGAAGGCGGGUCUCUGGGCCGAUACUGACGCUGAGGAGCGAAAGCGUGGGGAGCGAACAGGAUUAGAUACCCUGGUAGUCCACGCCGUAAACGGUGGGCACUAGGUGUGGGCAACAUCCA
RNAcentral lists this ribosomal RNA (577 nucleotides) under Streptomyces ginkgonis. RNAcentral's name for it is "bacterial SSU rRNA". The record is from RNAcentral. Lineage: Bacteria; Bacillati; Actinomycetota; Actinomycetes; Kitasatosporales; Streptomycetaceae.